This is a long non-coding RNA of Rhododendron vialii, 180 nucleotides long. RefSeq lists it as uncharacterized. The transcript has 2 exons. NCBI's taxonomy places the organism in Eukaryota, Viridiplantae, Streptophyta, Magnoliopsida, Ericales, Ericaceae. The record is from RefSeq and is a predicted model, not a curated record.
GAAAGUGGCAAUCCUGCCGGAGCAGACCAUGAAUUUACGUUUCUUGAGUACAACCUUACCAUGGCGUAUCAUCGGACGAAUCUUUUGGUGCGAUAUGGAGAAAUAGAGUUUAUUGCAGAAUUGUUGAUUAUCGCUUGUUUGAGGCAAAUGGGAGUGUUGUAAAGUCCUGCUUAUGAGUUU